GCGGUCGUGGUCUAGCCUGGUCUAGGACUCAGACGCGGCGAGCCUGCUACCCGGGUUCAAAUCCCGGCGACCGCACCA
This 78-nucleotide transfer RNA is filed under the name Candidatus Bathyarchaeota archaeon. RNAcentral's name for it is "tRNA-Ala". It matches the Rfam family "tRNA". From Rfam's summary of the family: Transfer RNA (tRNA) molecules are approximately 80 nucleotides in length. Their secondary structure includes four short double-helical elements and three loops (D, anti-codon, and T loops). Lineage: Archaea; Thermoproteati; Candidatus Bathyarchaeota. The record is from RNAcentral.